Molecule: ribosomal RNA, 522 nt
Filed under: uncultured bacterium
Lineage: Bacteria
Description: partial 16S ribosomal RNA
Rfam family: Bacterial small subunit ribosomal RNA
Source: RNAcentral
GACGAACGCUGGCGGCGUGCCUAAUACAUGCAAGUCGAACGCUUUUUCUUUCACCGGAGCUUGCUCCACCGAAAGAAAAAGAGUGGCGAACGGGUGAGUAACACGUGGGUAACCUGCCCAUCAGAAGGGAUAACACUUGGAAACAGGUGCUAAUACCGUAUAACACUAUUUUCCGCAUGGAAGAAAGUUGAAAGGCGCUUUUGCGUCACUGAUGGAUGGACCCGCGGUGCAUUAGCUAGUUGGUGAGGUAACGGCUCACCAAGGCAACGAUGCAGAGCCGACCUGAGAGGGUGAUCGGCCACACUGGGACUGAGACACGGCCCAGACUCCUACGGGAGGCAGCAGUAGGGAAUCUUCGGCAAUGGACGAAAGUCUGACCGAGCAACGCCGCGUGAGUGAAGAAGGUUUUCGGAUCGUAAAACUCUGUUGUUAGAGAAGAACAAGGAUGAGAGUAAAAUGUUCAUCCCUUGACGGUAUCUAACCAGAAAGCCACGGCUAACUACGUGCCAGCAGCCGCCGCGG